GAUGAACGCUGGCGGCGUGCUUAACACAUGCAAGUCGAACGAAGCAUUUGCGACAGAUUUUUUCGGAAUGAAGUUGCUUAUGACUGAGUGGCGGACGGGUGAGUAACGCGUGGGUAACCUGCCUUGUACUGGGGGAUAGCAGCUGGAAACGGCUGGUAAUACCGCAUAAGCGCACAAUGUUGCAUGACAUGGGGUGAAAAACUCCGGUGGUAUAAGAUGGACCCGCGUCUGAUUAGCUAGUUGGUGAGAUAACAGCCCACCAAGGCGACGAUCAGUAGCCGACCUGAGAGGGUGACCGGCCACAUUGGGACUGAGACACGGCCCAGACUCCUACGGGAAGCAGCAGUGGGGAAUAUUGCACAAUGGAGGAAACUCUGAUGCAGCGACGCCGCGUGAGUGAAGAAGUAAUUCGUUAUGUAAAGCUCUAUCAGCAGGGAAGAUAGUGACGGUACCUGACUAAGAAGCGCCGGCUAAAUACGUG
Molecule: ribosomal RNA, 481 nt
Filed under: uncultured bacterium
Lineage: Bacteria
Description: partial 16S ribosomal RNA
Rfam family: Bacterial small subunit ribosomal RNA
Source: RNAcentral